This 906-nucleotide ribosomal RNA is filed under the name Tricholosporum porphyrophyllum. RNAcentral's name for it is "partial large subunit ribosomal RNA". It matches the Rfam family "Eukaryotic large subunit ribosomal RNA", at positions 78 to 932 of the family's 3401-position model. The record is from RNAcentral. Lineage: Eukaryota; Fungi; Basidiomycota; Agaricomycetes; Agaricales; Asproinocybaceae.
AUGUUGUAUUAUGCGAGUGAAGUGGGAAAAGCUCAAAUUUAAAAUCUGGUAGUCUUUGAUUACCCGAGUUGUAAUCUAGAGAAGUGUUAUCCGCGCUGGACCGUGUACAAGUCUCCUGGAAUGGAGCGUCAUAGAGGGUGAGAAUCCCGUCUUUGACACGGACUCCCAGGGCUUUUGUGAUGCGCUCUCAAAGAGUCGAGUUGUUUGGGAAUGCAGCUCUAAAUGGGUGGUAAAUUCCAUCUAAAGCUAAAUAUUGGCGAGAGACCGAUAGCGACAAGUACCGUGAGGGAAAGAUGAAAAGAACUUUGGAAAGAGAGUUAAACAGUACGUGAAAUUGUUGAAAGGGAAACGCUUGAAGUCAGUCAUGUUAGCCAGGGAUCAGCCUUGUCUUUGGACUUGGUGUACUUUCUGGUUGACAGGUCAGCAUCAAUUUUGACUGAUAGAUAAAGGUCAGGGGAAUGUGACAUCUUUUUGAUGUGUUAUAGCCCUUGGUUGAAUAUGUCAGUUGGGAUUGAGGAACUCAGCAUGCCGCAAGGCCGGGUUUUAAACCACGUUACAUGCUUAGGAUGCUGGCAAAAUGGCUUUAAUCGACCCGUCUUGAAACACGGACCAAGGAGUCUAACAUGCCUGCGAGUGUUUGGGUGGAAAACCCAUGCGCGUAAUGAAAGUGAAAAUCAGGAUCCCUGUCAUGAGGAGCACUGAUGCCCGGACUAGAUCUUUUAGUGACAGUUCCGCGGUAGAGCAUGUAUGUUGGGACCCGAAAGAUGGUGAACUAUGCCUGAAUAGGGUGAAGCCAGAGGAAACUCUGGUGGAGGCUCGUAGCGAUUCUGACGUGCAAAGCGAUCGUCGAAUCUGUGGGACACCGUCGUAGGUGUAAAAACCGUUUAUAUGUAGAGAACUAUUCCC